Molecule: ribosomal RNA, 637 nt
Filed under: uncultured bacterium
Lineage: Bacteria
Description: bacterial SSU rRNA
Rfam family: Bacterial small subunit ribosomal RNA
Source: RNAcentral
GCUCAACCGAGGAAGUGCUUCGAAAACUGGUAAACUUGAGUGCAGAAGAGGAAAGUGGAACUCCAUGUGUAGCGGUGGAAUGCGUAGAUAUAUGGAAGAACACCAGUGGCGAAGGCGGCUUUCUGGUCUGUAACUGACGCUGAGAUUCGAAAGCAUGGGUAGCAAACAGGAUUAGAUACCCUGGUAGUCCAUGCCGUAAACGAUGAGUGCUAAGUGUUGGAGGGUUUCCGUCCUUCAGUGCUGCAGCUAACGCAUUAAGCACUCCGCCUGGGGAGUACGAUCGCAAGAUUGAAACUCAAAGGAAUUGACGGGGGCCCGCACAAGCGGUGGAGCAUGUGGUUUAAUUCGAAGCAACGCGAAGAACCUUACCAGGUCUUGACAUACCAUGAAAAGCUAAGAGAUUAGUCUUUCCCUUCGGGGACAUGGAUACAGGUGGUGCAUGGUUGUCGUCAGCUCGUGUCGUGAAAUGUUGGGUUAAGUCCCGCAACGAGCGCAACCCUUAUUAUCAGUUGCCAGCAUUCAGUUGGGCACUCUGGUGAGACUGCCGGUGACAAACCGGAGGAAGGUGGGGACGACGUCAAAUCAUCAUGCCCCUUAUGACCUGGGCUACACACGUGCUACAAUGGUCGGUACAACG